Fukomys damarensis (Damara mole-rat) is the source of this 387-nucleotide long non-coding RNA. RefSeq lists it as uncharacterized. NCBI's taxonomy places the organism in Eukaryota, Metazoa, Chordata, Mammalia, Rodentia, Bathyergidae. The transcript is spliced from 3 exons. The record is from RefSeq and is a predicted model, not a curated record.
UCAAGCUGUCUGCCUGUCAGCCUGUCCACUCUGCAGGAUAAUUCUGGGUGAAAGGCACACACACACUUAGAAACUUCUGAGCAGGUCAGCAGUGCAAGCAUCUGCACAGCUGGUACAUGAAGAUUACCCUAGCCUGGAAUUUGUAACCACCAGCCACAUGGGGCUGCUGAGCACUUGAAGUGAAGCGGGAGCACAUUGAAAUCUCUGGUCCUAUCUCCAGACAUAGUCACAUUCUGAGGUUCUGGGACUUAAGACUUUCACACAUGAAUGUAAGGGGACAGAGACACCAAUCAAUCAAAGCAUAUGUACUUGGAAAACCUUUGAAAUCAACGAUGAUGCUAAAUCAAAAAAUUUCACUUGCAACCAAGAGGACCCAAGUUUGAUCCC